GGGCUCACAUCACCCCAU
RNAcentral lists this microRNA (18 nucleotides) under Homo sapiens (human). Its description in RNAcentral is "hsa-miR-4284". The record is from miRBase by way of RNAcentral. Lineage: Eukaryota; Metazoa; Chordata; Mammalia; Primates; Hominidae.